AAAGAGUAACGGAGGAGCACGAAGGUUGGCUAAUCCUGGUGAUAAAAGGUACUCCGGGGAUAACAGGCUGAUACCGCCCAAGAGUUCAUAUCGACGGCGGUGUUUGG
RNAcentral lists this ribosomal RNA (107 nucleotides) under Escherichia coli. Its description in RNAcentral is "partial 23S ribosomal RNA". It matches the Rfam family "Bacterial large subunit ribosomal RNA", at positions 2292 to 2521 of the family's 2925-position model. Lineage: Bacteria; Pseudomonadati; Pseudomonadota; Gammaproteobacteria; Enterobacterales; Enterobacteriaceae. The record is from RNAcentral.